Molecule: ribosomal RNA, 253 nt
Filed under: uncultured bacterium
Lineage: Bacteria
Description: partial 16S ribosomal RNA
Rfam family: Bacterial small subunit ribosomal RNA
Source: RNAcentral
UACGGAGGGGGCUAGCGUUGUUCGGAAUUACUGGGCGUAAAGCGCGCGUAGGCGGCUUUGUAAGUUAGAGGUGAAAGCCCAGGGCUUAACCCUGGAAUUGCCUUUAAGACUGCAUCGCUAGAAUCGUGGAGAGGUGAGUGGAAUUCCGAGUGUAGAGGUGAAAUUCGUAGAUAUUCGGAAGAACUCCAGUGGCGAAGGCGACUCACUGGACACGUAUUGACGCUGAGGUGCGAAAGCGUGGGGAGCAAACAGG